This 21-nucleotide non-coding RNA is filed under the name Bos taurus (domestic cattle). RNAcentral also lists the same sequence under 1 other name. The record is from RNAcentral. Lineage: Eukaryota; Metazoa; Chordata; Mammalia; Artiodactyla; Bovidae.
AGCAGCAUUGUACAGGGCUAC